This 253-nucleotide ribosomal RNA is filed under the name uncultured microorganism. RNAcentral describes it as "partial 16S ribosomal RNA". It matches the Rfam family "Bacterial small subunit ribosomal RNA", at positions 524 to 776 of the family's 1533-position model. The record is from RNAcentral.
UACGGAGGGGGCGAGCGUUGUUCGGAGUUACUGGGCGUAAAGCGCACGUAGGCGGUGCGGUAAGUCAGGGGUUAAAGGCUGCAGCUCAACUGCAGUAAGGCCUUAGAUACUAUAGAACUGGAGUGCCAGAGAGGAUGGCGGAAUUCCCGGUGUAGCGGUGAAAUGCGUAGAUAUCGGGAGGAAGGUCGGUGGCGAAGGCGGCCUCCUGGGCCUGUACUGACGCUCAUGCACGAAAGCGUGGGGAGCAAACAGG